Molecule: ribosomal RNA, 253 nt
Filed under: uncultured bacterium
Lineage: Bacteria
Description: partial 16S ribosomal RNA
Rfam family: Bacterial small subunit ribosomal RNA
Source: RNAcentral
UACGUAGGGACCGAGCGUUGUCCGGAAUCAUUGGGCGUAAAGAGCGUGUAGGCGGCCACUUAAGUCCUGCGUGAAAUCUUGCGGUUCAACCGCAAGCGGUCGUGGGAAACUGGGUGGCUAGAGUGCGGGAGAGGAGAGUGGAAUUCCUGGUGUAGCGGUGGAAUGCGCAGAUAUCAGGAAGAACACCCGUGGCGAAGGCGGCUCUCUGGAACGCAACUGACGCUGAGACGCGAAAGCGUGGGGAGCAAACAGG